CCUACGGGUGGCAGCAGUGAGGAAUAUUGGUCAAUGGGCGCGAGCCUGAACCAGCCAAGUCGCGUGAAGGAUGACGGCCCUACGGGUUGUAAACUUCUUUUAUAAAGGAAUAAAGUGAGGCACGAGUGCCUUUUUGUAUGUACUUUAUGAAUAAGGAUCGGCUAACUCCGUGCCAGCAGCCGCGGUAAUACGGAGGAUACGAGCGUUAUCCGGAUUUAUUGGGUUUAAAGGGAGCGUCGAUGGGGUGUUAAGUCAGUUGUGAAAGUUUGAGGCUCAACCGUAAAAUUGCAGUUGAUACUGGCAGCCUUGAGUAGAGUUGAGGUAGGCGGAAUUCGUGGUGUAGCGGUGAAAUGCUUAGAUAUCACGAAGAACUCCGAUUGCGAAGGCAGCAUACUGGACGGCCACUGACACUGAUGCACGAAAGUGUGGGUAUCAAACAGGAUUAGAUACCCGAGUAGUC
This 460-nucleotide ribosomal RNA is filed under the name uncultured bacterium. RNAcentral describes it as "partial 16S ribosomal RNA". It matches the Rfam family "Bacterial small subunit ribosomal RNA", at positions 338 to 795 of the family's 1533-position model. The record is from RNAcentral.